RNAcentral lists this ribosomal RNA (427 nucleotides) under uncultured bacterium. Its description in RNAcentral is "bacterial SSU rRNA". It matches the Rfam family "Bacterial small subunit ribosomal RNA", at positions 355 to 774 of the family's 1533-position model. The record is from RNAcentral.
UGGGGAAUAUUGGACAAUGGGGGCAACCCUGAUCCAGCAAUGCCGCGUGUGUGCAGAAGGCCUUCGGGUUGUAAAGCACUUUUAUCGGGAACGAAACAUUGUCGGCCAAUACCCGGCAAGACUGACGGUACCCGAGGAAUAAGCACCGGCUAACUCCGUGCCAGCAGCCGCGGUAAUACGGAGGGUGCAAGCGUUAAUCGGAAUUACUGGGCGUAAAGCGUGCGCAGGCGGUUUGUUAAGUCUGCUGUGAAAUCCCCGAGCUCAACGUGGGAAGUGCAGUGGAUACUGGCAAGCUGGAGUACGGUAGAGGAUGGUGGAAUUCCCGGUGUGGCAGUGAAAUGCGUAGAGAUCGGGAGGAACACCAGUGGCGAAGGCGGCCUUCUGGACCAGUACUGACGCUCAUGCACGAAAGCGUGGGGAGCAAACA